RNAcentral lists this long non-coding RNA (437 nucleotides) under Felis catus (domestic cat). RNAcentral's name for it is "lncRNA (ENSFCAG00000049767.1)". The record is from RNAcentral. Lineage: Eukaryota; Metazoa; Chordata; Mammalia; Carnivora; Felidae.
GUCUGGGGGGGGGGGGCUUGACAGAGCUCUCCCACCCCAGCCCGGCCCCUGUCCCAGCCUCGCCUUGGUCUGGGAACUGCUCAGCCAGUGUGACCAGACAGACCCCACCUGGACGCCAGGCCCUGCCCAUGUCUGAGCCACCGUCUUGUUUCUGUCUCAGUCCCAGACUCAGCAGCAACCUCGGGCCCAGGCACUGCCUCCCAGGCAAAGCCACCCUCAUCUGGAAAGGAAGGAACCUUCUCCUUGCCCAUCCUGCGCUGAGACGGAGGGACUGUACCGAGCAAUCCAGGAACAAAGAAACUGCUCACCAGAAAGUGGUUGAUGAUCACACACUCCUGGGACAGAAAUCCACAGAGGGCUUUCAGGCUUGGGAAGCCCAAAGGUGGGGCUCCCUCAGCCGACUGGUGGCCCUGAAUCCUGAUAGACCAAUCCUAUAA